GGCAUUGAAUAGAAUUCAAUUGGUAAAAGGGCUAGAAGAUGUGACGCUGUGUGAGAAAGAAGCCUGUAUAUUUGAGGUGGUCCUCAGUCAUGCCUACGUCCAGGGUCAAUGGAGCAGGGAUGGAGUCCCACUUAAAUCCAGGCCUGUGUGUCGAAUUGCCACGCAGGGCAAAAAACACACACUCACACUCACGCGCGUCACGGUUGCUGACAUGGGUGUCAUCAGUUUCAAGGCUGAAGGGAUUGAAAGCUCUGCUAUGCUGACAGUCACAGUCAGGAAUAUAAAGAUUGUGAAGGCUCUUCAGAAUGUCAGUUUGACCGAGAGGGAGAGCGUGACAUUUAUCUGUGAGGUCAACUGGGAAGAUGUGGAUGGGAAGUGGUACAAGGAUGACAGCCGGUUGAGAGCUGGGGACAAUGUUAAAAUAAGAUGUGAGGGUAUGUGUGAGAGGUUGAGUAACACAUUGACUGGUGGAUUAUUGUGUACAUUCAUGGGUCGUUCACAAAAUAUGGUGAAAAACAUGGCAACUUACUUUUUUUUCCAGUCAUGAAAAAAGAACGAAGACUUCAAACUCCAUAUGAAAAGCAUUAUACUAUAAUCUAACCUAAAGUUUAUUAAAGUUUCAUGCUAUAUUGCACAUAAAUACAUAUAUAUUUGAGUUUGUCAAGUGCCUAAAACCCUGUAUCACCUACUUCUAGUAAUUGUAAAAAAAAAAAAAAAAAAACUAAACAAACAUAAUAAUAAAAAAAUUGUCCCUAGAUUACUUGAUAUUUAC
Molecule: long non-coding RNA, 772 nt
Organism: Cyprinus carpio (common carp)
Lineage: Eukaryota; Metazoa; Chordata; Actinopteri; Cypriniformes; Cyprinidae
Source: Ensembl